AAACCUCGAGUUAUCAUUUAAUUUUGAUUUAAAUGAAACAAAGUUACUUGUCAUAACCUCACAAAAAGAUGUGUCCAACAUAAAAUCUUAUACUUUUGUAAAGAUACUUCAAAACUUUGUUUUUUGUUACGUAUUAAAAUAUUUCACCCAUUUUAAUGGAAUUUUCUUUACAGAAAUGUUAUAUAUGUAUAUUGCUUCUUUGUUUAAGUUGUGGCCCCCCUGAUCAGCCCCCUCACUGGGGAACUGUGUUCCGCCUAUGAGAAAGUCAACGCAAUAUUGUCUGGCUUUCUUUGUAGAACGUAAUGGGUUUUAGUUUUUGGAUUUUUUUUUUUAUUUUUAUUUACUUCGGUCUUUUUUGGAGGAAACGACAAUCACAGUUGGUCAGCCGGCCGGCUGUGAGUGUGUGUGUCCAAAACGUAUCUCUCUUGUUUUUUAAGGAGUGUAACAACAGAGGUGGAGUGAAGGGGCAAAGAUGGCCAGAACAGGCUCGCCAAAACCAACCAAAACCAGAAAUCUUCUAACGUGGCCAGUCAAAGAGAGAGUGCAGCGGUAGCAGUAUAGUGGCAGAUGUUGUUGUUUGUAGGCAGCUGCUGGUGCCGCUGCCUGCCAAAGAAAUCUGAGAACCAAAAAGGAAAGAUAUCGACAUCCCGACAGCAGCCGCCUCUGUCUGUGCGUAUAUACAAGAGAUAAAAAUUCAUGAAGGAGUUUGGAGCAGCCUUUGCCAUUUUGGGGAGCAGCAACUUUAAGGACGUUGUAGUGCUGAAACAACUCAAUUUUAAUUAAACGCUUUGUUGGGCAGCAACCUUGAGACUGAACAGUGAUAAGUCUCUCAGACGUUGCGUGACUUGACCAGCUUGUGGAUAACAGGUUCUCUUUUUUUCGCCCAACAUUCAAUUUGGCCGAUUGUGGCCCAAGUGAGCCGGGAAACUGAUAUUCCCAACAUUUACCUACAAAUUUAAUAUUUACCAUUACUAAAGGUGAUAAUUAUGUUGAAAUCUAGGUGGGCCAAUUGUUUUCGCUAAAAAAAAACAAAUAACCCUUUCUAAUCUAUGAAUGGAUCAACAUAUACAUAGACUACACAAUUCUGGGCAUAUUUGAUUGAAUCGUUAAACAGGUUUUAUUCUUAACUUGGUAUUAUGAGAACAGCUUUGCCACAAUCCAUAGAUAUGAUGACAAACAACUAAAUAAACUAAUAUGGUAUUAA
Drosophila willistoni is the source of this 1204-nucleotide long non-coding RNA. RefSeq lists it as uncharacterized. The record is from RefSeq and is a predicted model, not a curated record. The transcript is spliced from 2 exons. Lineage: Eukaryota; Metazoa; Arthropoda; Insecta; Diptera; Drosophilidae.